CUCAUCUAAUGUCACUGGUCUCUUCUAGAUUUCAAACCCUUUCUAGUACCUACCUGCUCUUACUUACUCUCCAAUACUUUCAGGUGGUGGUUCUAAAAUACUUGGUCCAGAGUUUCUCAUUAUUAUUUGCAAUAGGACCUCCUCAGCCAUUACUGGAAGUGGAAACUGUCCUCGUGGGAAUGUCCAGUUCCGACCACAAUUGAGAGAAGACCUGAGUGGAGACAUAAUUUAGGCUUUCUUGCAAAUCAUAUGACAACUUAUGAAAAUUCGUGUGUAAGUGUGACCCUAUAAUGGUUUUUGUGUCUUUUUUUUUUUUUUUUUUUUUUUUUUUUGGACGGAGUCUCACUCUGUCGCCCAGGCUGGAGUGCAGUGGCGCGAUCUCGGCUCACUGCAAGCUCUGCCUCCCGGGUUCACGCCAUUCUCCUGCCUCAGUCUCCCGAGUAGCUGGGACUACAGGCACCCGCCACCACACCCGGCUAUUUUUUUUUUUUUGUAUUUUUUUAGUAGAGACGGGGUUUCACCAUAUUAGCCAGGAUGGUCUCGAUCUCCUGACCUCAUGAUUCACCCGCUUCGGGCUCCCAAAGUGCUGGGAUUACAGGCGUGAGCCACCGCGCCCGGCCUUUUGUGUCAUUUUUUAAAGAGUGUCUUACAUCUAAACAAGUUAAUUUCCUCUCAGAGGCCAUUUGCCA
This 689-nucleotide long non-coding RNA is filed under the name Homo sapiens (human). RNAcentral's name for it is "HSALNT0327267". The record is from RNAcentral. Lineage: Eukaryota; Metazoa; Chordata; Mammalia; Primates; Hominidae.